Molecule: ribosomal RNA, 252 nt
Filed under: uncultured bacterium
Lineage: Bacteria
Description: partial 16S ribosomal RNA
Rfam family: Bacterial small subunit ribosomal RNA
Source: RNAcentral
UACGUAGGGGGCUAGCGUUAUCCGGAAUUACUGGGCGUAAAGGGUGCGUAGGUGGUUUCUUAAGUCAGAGGUGAAAGGCUACGGCUCAACCGUAGUAAGCCUUUGAAACUGGGAAACUUGAGUGCAGGAGAGGAGAGUGGAAUUCCUAGUGUAGCGGUGAAAUGCGUAGGUAUUAGGAGGAACACCAGUUGCGAAGGCGGCUCUCUGGACUGUAACUGACACUGAGGCACGAAAGCGUGGGGAGCAAACAGG